Molecule: ribosomal RNA, 320 nt
Filed under: uncultured Prevotella sp.
Lineage: Bacteria; Pseudomonadati; Bacteroidota; Bacteroidia; Bacteroidales; Prevotellaceae
Description: bacterial SSU rRNA
Rfam family: Bacterial small subunit ribosomal RNA
Source: RNAcentral
GAUGAACGCUAGCUACAGGCUUAACACAUGCAAGUCGAGGGGCAUCAUUAUCGAAGCUUGCUUUGAUAGAUGGCGACCGGCGCACGGGUGAGUAACGCGUAUCCAACCUUCCCCUUAGUAGGGCAUAGCCCGGCGAAAGUCGGAUUAAUACCCUAUGUUCUUCACAGCGGGCAUCUAACGUGAAGCAAAGAUUCAUCGCUAAGGGAUGGGGAUGCGUCUGAUUAGGCAGUCGGCGGGGUAACGGCCCACCGAGCCAUCGAUCAGUCGGGGUUCUGAGAGGAAGGUCCCCCACACUGGUACUGAGACACGGACCAGACUCC